GGAGACUGGUGGAGGGACAAGGGAGGAGGGGUGGGAGAGGGAGCUAGGACUGCCAUGUGAAACAUUCACGUUUCUAAUUUAAAUAAAAACAUAUAUUGAGAAAAAAGAAAGAAAAGUUCCAGGUUCUUUCUGAAGAAUUUCUUUCCCAUGUGCCGGUCUCACAUUGCUCGGGGAGUCCUGCUCACCUGUGAAGCAGAAGAAAGAGCCGUGGACGGUGAGGAGAGAGGAGACAGCAGCAAAGAGACCAGAUUUUGUGUUUUACAUAGAGGGCAUCAGUGUUUGGCAGCAUGAAUGGAAGUGAUCUGUAUUCACUCCUGGUGUGAACUGAGGUAAGAAAAGUCAUCAGGUCUCUAGAACUGAAGUUGCACAUGGUUGUCAGCCUCCACGCGAUACCGGGAAAUGAACCCAUGUCCUUCUAAAGAAUCACGAGCUAUUAUAUUAGAACCCAUGUCCUUCUAAAGGAUCACUAAAGAAUUAACUGUUGACUCAUCUCAACACCCCGUACCCCCAUUCCAUUUCCACUGUCACUUGAGCCCCUCAACACCCGUACCAUAGUACCUCCAAAAUACCUGUUGUAUUUCAUACUGUCUCAUUUCUGUCCACCCUGCAGGUAUCUAGGUUCUGUAUCCAAAAUAACAGUUCUGGAUUAUCAGUGAAACUGCACCUGAGAAAGACAUUCUUUUGAAACCUCUUGGAUUUCAAUCACAGUACUGUGCUAAGGAAAUAAAAGACUCUACAAAUGAA
This is a long non-coding RNA of Mesocricetus auratus (golden hamster), 744 nucleotides long. RefSeq lists it as uncharacterized. The transcript has 2 exons. Lineage: Eukaryota; Metazoa; Chordata; Mammalia; Rodentia; Cricetidae. The record is from RefSeq and is a predicted model, not a curated record.